RNAcentral lists this ribosomal RNA (432 nucleotides) under Triticum aestivum (bread wheat). RNAcentral's name for it is "partial small subunit ribosomal RNA". Lineage: Eukaryota; Viridiplantae; Streptophyta; Magnoliopsida; Poales; Poaceae. The record is from RNAcentral.
AUGUUUAGGAGGAUGUUCCAAGGUGGUCAUUCAAGGAAGCAAGGUCCCAGGCUUGCAAUACGUGAUGCUGACGAGGAACCACCAAGAGACGCUCCUGUGAGGCCCUGUGAAUGGCCUUCGGAAAAUUUUAUGAAUCAAGUGAGAAUCAAAGAAGAAUUUAGCGCAUAUUUGAGUAACGCCGAUCUUGAGGACUUUGAAGCUUACAAAUGCCCCCAGUAUCAUGAUCUCACAAGUUCAUUUGUGAGGAGGUUUGAGUUUUCAACUUCGCUAAAUUCUCUUUCAGUCAUGUUUGACCUUUAUGACAAAUCUUAUACCAUGGACUUAGAGGAUUUUACUUCUGCUUGCAAACUUCCAUCUUGGGGUAAUGUCAGGGAUCCCCCUAAAUCCGAAUACAGAGACUUUCUUGCUAGAAUAACUGUGGGGGAAUCUUGA